CUUGGUGAUUUAGCUCAAUGUGACCCACCUCUUCCCAUUCCGAACAGAGAAGUGAAAGCAUUGAGCACCGAUGAUAUUGCCCUAAUUUGUUGGGUGAGAAAGUAGGUUUCGCCUGGA
This 117-nucleotide ribosomal RNA is filed under the name bacterium. The record is from RNAcentral.